This 492-nucleotide ribosomal RNA is filed under the name uncultured bacterium. RNAcentral's name for it is "partial 16S ribosomal RNA". It matches the Rfam family "Bacterial small subunit ribosomal RNA", at positions 29 to 507 of the family's 1533-position model. The record is from RNAcentral.
AGUGAACGCUGGCGGUAGGCCUAACACAUGCAAGUCGAACGGCAGCACAGUAAGAGCUUGCUCUUACGGGUGGCGAGUGGCGGACGGGUGAGGAAUACAUCGGAAUCUACUUUUUCGUGGGGGAUAACGUAGGGAAACUUACGCUAAUACCGCAUACGACCUACGGGUGAAAGCAGGGGAUCUUCGGACCUUGCGCGAUUGAAUGAGCCGAUGUCGGAUUAGCUAGUUGGCGGGGUAAAGGCCCACCAGGGCGACGAUCCGUAGCUGGUCUGAGAGGAUGAUCAGCCACACUGGACCUGAGACACGGUCCAGACUCCUACGGGAGGCAGCAGUGGGGAAUAUUGGACAAUGGGCGCAAGCCUGAUCCAGCCAUACCGCGUGGGUGAAGAAGGCCUUCGGGUUGUAAAGCCCUUUUGUUGGGAAAGAAAAGCAGCAGGUUAAUACCCCGCUGUUCUGACGGUACCCAAAGAAUAAGCACCGGCUAACUUCGUG